Molecule: ribosomal RNA, 460 nt
Filed under: uncultured bacterium
Lineage: Bacteria
Description: partial 16S ribosomal RNA
Rfam family: Bacterial small subunit ribosomal RNA
Source: RNAcentral
CCUACGUGAGGCUGCAGUGAGGAAUAUUGGUCAAUGGACGAGAGUCUGAACCAGCCAAGUAGCGUGAAGGUUGACUGCCCUAGGGGUUGUAAACUUUUUUUAUAUGGGAAUAAAACGUUCCACGUGUGGGAUUUUGUAUGUACCAUAUGAAUAAGGAUCGGCUAACUCCGUGCCAGCAGCCGCGGUAAUAAGGAGGAUCCGAGCGUUAUCCGGAUUUAUUGGGUUUAAAGGGAGCGUAGGUGGAUGGUUAAGUCAGUUGUGAAAGUUUGCGGCUCAACCGUAAAAUUGCAGUUGAAACUGGCAGUCUUGAGUACAGUAGAGGUGGGCGGAAUGCGUGGUGUAGCGGUGAAAUGCUGAGAUAUCACGAAGAACUCCGAUUGCGAAGGCAGUUCACUGAACUGCAACUGACACUGAGGCUCGAAAGUGUGGGUAUCAAACAGGAUUAGAUACCCCAGUAGUC